UAUUAAAUGAUGAUAUUAUUUCUAUUAACCAUCUUUCGGGUCUGAAACCUGAUGCCAUUUAUAUAUUCUGAUAAUA
Molecule: non-coding RNA, 76 nt
Organism: Cinara cedri
Lineage: Eukaryota; Metazoa; Arthropoda; Insecta; Hemiptera; Aphididae
Source: the annotation of a GenBank genome assembly